CAGUGGUAACUAUCCUUGCUUUUGCUCUUCUUAGGUGCUGGUAGAGCUUAAAAGUUCCUGAGAAAGUAUCAGCACAAACACCUCAAAUUACAGAUGAAGAAACUUCAGGCAGAGAAAGGAAGCCCUUUCUUAAUAUCACACAGCAAGUCAGUGGAAGAUUCUGGAGUCGCUUGUCCACCUUGGUUCCCUGACCCCAGGAAGGUAUCAGUGCCUCGCUCUUGAAGCAUGAGAAUCACUAUGUUCUUGGAAGACCUGGUCUCCAGGAAGACUGCUCUGUGGCUGUGUGAAGAAGUAGAGCUUGGGGUGACGGGAACUCUUGGGUGAUUUUGAGCAGGAAGACGGUGCUGCUGCUGAUGACAGAAUGAAGGGGAAAUUGAAGAGAACAGUCCAAGAAGCUAUUAAAGAGAGAGUGAAGGCCAGAACAAGGGCAUUUUUACUGGGGUUCAAGAGAUGGGAAAGCAGCAGCAAGGAGACGAUGUUGUGGAUAUAUCAUCAGGAUUGGAGAGCUACCACGUGUCUGGUGCAUCUGAUUCCCAAGGAGCCUGGUGGGAAAGGAAGAAAAUUAUAGGGAAGUAUGUGUUACCCCUGUUACAUUUUCAGACCUAUGAUAAAUGCAAUUAAACAUUUAGAAAACA
Molecule: long non-coding RNA, 635 nt
Organism: Manis pentadactyla (Chinese pangolin)
Lineage: Eukaryota; Metazoa; Chordata; Mammalia; Pholidota; Manidae
Exons: 3
Source: RefSeq, a predicted model, not a curated record